UUCAUGCAGGCCUUCCUGGAGCAAUUGCCCCACCACUUAGAUAUGUGGUGGAGUGCUGGUGCUACUGUUGAACUGUGUGAGGUGGGCUUCUAAAGGCAAAUUGUUUAUUAUUCAGCAUAUUUUUAUCACUAUGGACAGUGCUUUGGAAUUUCUUAUCUCAAUCACCUUUAAAAAGCAAGCAAACAAACCAACCCAGCCUGUUUCAGGCCUGGGACCAUCUUGGCGAUUCUCCCCCCUCCACCCACUUUGCUGUCACUAUUCAAGCAAACCACCAGCUCUCUCUGUGUGUGGCGGUGGUGGAACAGUGAAAGAAGCAGUCUGCUCUUUUUCAUCACCUCCCUCUUUUUUCCUCCCAGGUAGGGUUGCCACAUUUUCUUCUGCCAGAGGCAGUGGUGUAGCUAGGGGAGAGGGGGCCCAUGUGGGGACCCUCGGAGUGAGGGAGAUAAUGAAGAAAUUAGGGAGGGGUGCAGCUGGGGGGGCCCCAGGAGCUGGGGGCCCUGGGUUCUUUGAAUUCAUCCGCUCACUUAUCGCUACACCCCUGGCCAGUGGCCCUGUGCUUUUCAGAGCCACAGACCAGCCAGACAUUCUAUAGGUACAGCUUCUCACUUCAUGGGGAAAGCUUCACUCAGUGAUUUUCUGCCGGCCUUGCAGCUAGCGGUUAAAGGCACAGGAGCCCGGCCCAGCACAAAAAUGGCGACGCUCCUAGAAUUAGAUACAGGGUGACUCCUAGGGCAAAGCGGAGCCUUCUUCUGGUCUCCUUGUUGUGGAAACUCUGCUGCCGGGAUGGACACGCCCAUCGGCGCGGCUGAAAAUACCGUGACGCCCACCCAGCCCUGCAGGCUUGCUCAUUAUCCCUUGGGAGUUUAGAGGCUGCUCCCAAAGUACAUCAUAUAUGCCAAGACACCUUCUUACUACUCACCGCCCCCCUCAAUUAUGUUUCUAGGGCCAAUUCUUCUGUUAUCCCUGUAUGCAGUCUGCAUGGCAAUUGCAGUUAAAAAAUAAUAUAAUCACUGGCCUUGGCAUGAAGAUUUCCCACAUAAUUGGACUGAA
Hemicordylus capensis (graceful crag lizard) is the source of this 1050-nucleotide long non-coding RNA. RefSeq lists it as uncharacterized. Lineage: Eukaryota; Metazoa; Chordata; Lepidosauria; Squamata; Cordylidae. The record is from RefSeq and is a predicted model, not a curated record. The transcript is spliced from 2 exons.